This is an RNA transcript of Dendroctonus ponderosae (mountain pine beetle), 5079 nucleotides long. It is a transcript of the gene named peptidoglycan-recognition protein SC2, with no coding region annotated. The record is from RefSeq and is a predicted model, not a curated record. The transcript has 6 exons. Lineage: Eukaryota; Metazoa; Arthropoda; Insecta; Coleoptera; Curculionidae.
AUGGUUCCUGGCUAGAAUUAUGACGUCAACCUCGUACUGCAAGAUAAUCACCAGUAAUCAGGUUUUUCCAAGUCCCAUUUUCGAAUUCAUUAUUGAGCGCAUUUAGUGAACACUCGACAAUUACCAGUGCUUGCAGGAAAUUGGUUGGUCGAACCCAAUUGGUACCGCAUGGACAACAGAAAAAAGUGAUUUGCUCAAUGCGUGGUACCACUGGCUUAGUGCAGAAUAUUAUAAUAACUCGUACGGAAUAACAAAAGCGAUAUUCUUUGUUGAAAGUGCGUUGUUAGUGGGCUGGUGAUUGCAGCCUCGAUGUUGUUCUGGUUGAUCAACGUUAAGUGGAAUCAGUGGUUUAGUUGAAAUUUCGUGCUAAUGCCCCCAUCCGGCUUUAAUCAGUAAAGGUACGACCUUAGAGCGCCAAAUCAUGUUCUGAAGUCCCACUCAGAAGGAAGUUAGAUUCAAUGACAUUAGUAGCAACAUCGGACCUUUCUUGUACCAACCAGCUGCCAUCCAGUGCUCCAUGCAACUGCAGUUCCGAUGAAGAAAGCGAAUCAGAUUGCAGCGGGGAUGAUAGCAUGUGCGUUCAGCAACUUCAGUCCGACUCCAAGUGCAAUGAGGACUGUCUUAUGCAAUCGUUGGGUUACCCGAACAGUAACAUCUUUCCCUCGUAUGGCGAAGUGUCGAUUGAAAACUCCAACGAUGUGCAUAUUGGGAACAAGAACUUCUAUAACGGACCGGUGAAGAUCAAGCAAAUAGUGUACGCCAAUGGCAAUCCGGCAUUGGUGAACAGUAGUGAUAAAGCCAAAGACAAUUUAGGUUUCGAGAUGGACGGUGGACAUUCUGCUGCUGAGGUAAAAGACUGCUAUAAAGAUCCGGAGCUGGCUGAUCAGGCAGCUACUGAAAGUCCUCAAAGUCCCAUUAGAAAUGGCUUCAUCUGGUUGCAGAACGUUUCGAAGCACCGCUCAGUGGAAAUUGGGAUUUUUGUAAUAGUGGUCAUUCUGUUUUUUAUCGUAUUGAUGGUGCUGCUGGUUCUGGGACGUUCGCCUGCUGUUGUCAGCAAUCCUUCUAAUGGUACGUCUGCAGAACCCAAUAUUAUUAAACCCAUUGAAUACGAUCCAGAUUUAACGACGUCAAGCCAAAAGGACACCAACCUGCGAAUGGUGUCGCGCUACGAAUGGGUGGCGCAGCCUCCAAUCAAAAAAACUACAACACUGCAAACUCCAGUGCCAUACGUAAUCAUUCAUCACACAGCUACGGAAUUUUGUACUUCGCAAGCUCAGUGCGUUUUUCAUGUUAGAACAAGAAUCCCCAGGGUCCAGCUCAGUUUCUUCUCGGCAAUCUUAGUUAUUUUUCUUCUUCAGUGCUUCAUCAAAAUACCUGUGAGGCUUCUUCAUUUUUGGAAAUCGCCUGCAGAACGAUAGAGAAGAAUUGUUAGGAAUAAAAUUGAUUUCAUUCUUCUCGACCUAUACUUUAGGAAUAAAUAUUAAGAAAUACAUAUAUGAAAUCCGUAAAAACUCAUCAUCGACCACAAUCUUGUGAUUUUGGACUUUGAAUUAAAAAGAUUCCGGACGGUGCAAGGAGACAGUAAAACAAGAAAAACAGAUAUUGCCCAACUGAAAAGCCCCUUUAGAAAAACUAAAAGAAUUAGAAACGGUCAAUAUAGAGGCCUGGAGAUCACCCCGUGACAGGACGGAUUAAGUGAUUAGAAAGAAACCAGAUCGACUUCCUACUUGUGAACAAAAGGUAUCGAAAUAGCUGUACAUCAGUAAAAGCAUAUCAGAAGCUGACAUACAUUCAUAUCAUAAUCUCUUGGUCGGUGUAUUCAAGAUAAAGAUGAAGAGACUAAAGAAGAGCAACGCCCAAAAAUAUGAUCUAAGGAAACCAACAGAACCAUCAAUAAACCAUCGUAAUAACAUACUUAAAUAACGAAAUCAAAUCCCUGCUGUUAUCCUCAACAGCACAAUUAAGAACAUCAAAUACGACUUGUUACAAGCUGAUAAAAUAAAAAGGAAACCCUGGAUGACCGAUGAGAUUCUCCAGUUGAUGGAGCAACGAGGAAAAAGAAAUACUGUUAUGGCGCAUACAACAGCAUAAACAAAAUAAUUAAAAUAAAGGUCCCUCAAGGCAAGGAAAGCGACAUUAAAGAAAAACUUUGAAAUAGAAACACUGCAGACAAAAGAAACUGAAAUGUUAAAGAGUUAACUGGGACGUAUAAACUUGAACAUGUGACCACCCUAACCAACAACGAAGGAAAACCUAUAACUAAUGUAGCUGACUUGAAAGAUACAUAAGAAACUUACACAGAACAACUCUUUUCAAGACAAGACCGUAACCUCCCAAAGUAGAUGAUGAUGCAGGUCCAGAUGUCGUCAUUAACGAGGUCAGAACAGCAAUAAAAUCCUCGAAGGAAGGAAAAUCCCCGGGAUCGGACAACAUAAAUAUAGAGUUCUUCAAACUUUUUGAUGAAAACAGCAUGAGGUGGUUAAUGAAAGUGUCUUGCGUAAAAAAUGAGGAGCUAAAAAGUGUGAAGACUUUAGAACAAUAAGUGUGAUGAGCAAUCUACUGAGACUAUUCUUAAAAAUCAUACACAGCAGAGUCUACAGGAUCUGUGAAGACCAAAAGCACCUGCAUAGUUUGGUUUCAGAGAUGCAGUGGGAACACGGGAGGACAUAUUCAUAUAGCAUCAAAGUUUUAUUUCAGCGAUACAAAGACAUGCAUUAACUGGAGCGUGUUUGCAUGUUUUGGUGACUGCCAGAAGCCCUUUCAGAGAGUAAAACAUCGAAAAAUGAUGGAAAUUCUGAAAAAUGUAGUCUUGGAUGGACGGGACAUCAACAUAAUAGUCCAUUUCUACUGGGAAAAGAGACAACAGAGCAAAUGAAUAUACUGAUUGGUGUAAUGCAGAGCUGCAUUCUCGCCCCAUUAUUGUUCAAUUUAUAUUCAGAAUUCAUAUUAAGAGAACUCUUAAAACACAGAUACAGGAAUAUCCUUGAAUCGAGAAAGAGUGAACAAUAUUCGUUAUGCAGACGAUUCGGUCGUUUUUGCUGCCAGCAUAGAGGAGUUACAGAAUCUCAUGAAUAGAAUAACAGAGUGCAGUCUGAACAUUAAAAUUAAAGACAAAACUAGCGAUUAAAAUUUAAAGACAACAUUAACAACUGUAACUCUGGGGAACGAGCAAUGGGAUCAUUCGCAGGUAAUACGAAGCAGAAUUCAAAAGGCCAGAACUGCAUUCAGCAAGACGAGACAUCUGUUCACAAGCCAUCACAUAACAUUGCACUGUUACGCGUUCUCUGUCCUGUUUUACGGGGUAGAAGCAUAGACGCUUACUGAAGCCACAACGAAAGAAUUGGAGGCAUUCGAGUUAUGGCUGAAAAUACCGUGGACAGACCACAUAACAAAUAUAGAGGUUGUGAACAGAAUGGGUAAGGAACAGGAAGUGGUUAAUUCUGUGAAGGAGCGAAAGCUCCAAUAUUUGGGACACGUAAUAAGGAAUGAAAACAGAUUUCACCUAGUGCAGACUCUCUUGCAAGGAAAAGUACUAGGGAAACAAAGUGUGGAUAGAAGAUGAAUCUCAUGGUUAAGAAACCUUAGAACCUGGUUUGGUAUGAGUACAACUGAGCUGUUCCCGGCUGCAGUGAACAAAGUUAAGAUUUUAUUUAUAAUAAUACAGAAGCGCAAAAAAUAGAGAAUGUAGACGUUGAAGGAAUGUGAAAACGCCUUUAAAACUAAACUAAAAAAGUAAAAGCUCUCGAUAUGACAGGAUAUGUAAGAAACAACAAAAAACAAAAAUGGAUCUCAUGGAAGAAAGACGAAAAUGGGAAGCAAACCCACUAGAACUCGAACAACUUAAUAAAAUCAUCAGGAAACAGGGCAGAGAAGUCGACGAAAAUUGGAUGUCAGCAAAAUGUCGAGAAAUUGGACAAGUUCAGGAAGCAUAUGUCAUUUUCAAUGUCCACAAUGAGUAAAAGAAAAGACAGCGAGAAACAGAAAUUAGGAAAUAAUCGUAGGGACAGAAGACAAACUUGCUAGAUGGAAAAAUCCGUUGAAACACCUUUUAACGAUGAUAGACCUGGUGUUCCUCCAUUCUCAGACAAUAAGAUCAAUGGAAAAUCUCCAUCAAUCGUGACAAAAUGAACGAGGAAAUACUUAAAUUAGUCGCAGGAAUUCGCACUACUCCAAACACAAGGCCCCAGGGGGAAUCAAGAUUAACGAAACCUCGAUAAGUAACAUUAGACACGCUGAUGACACUGUUCUAAUAGCAAACAACGUACAAGAUCUUCAAAUUAUAAGUUGAGUUUAUGUCUGCAUAUAAACCAAAAUACUAGUCUACUCGAAGAUGCCAAUAAACAUACACCUGUCCAACAUGCCAAAGCCAGACCUUAGCCCGAGAAACCGUGGUCAGAUGCUACGAUGUCUCUGCUUUACUCUUCGCGUGCGAAGAAGUGUAGAAGCUUUUGAAAUUUGCAUAUGCAGACGAAUGCCACGAAUUUCAUAGGUACACUAAUCAUGAAGUACUCGAACCCAUUAGCAAACAAGAGGAAUUGAUAACACCAUCAAAUAGAGAAAAAUUCAAUACUUGAGUCAUGUAUUGAAAGGAGAAAAAUCCAAAUGACUUCAACUCAUAAUAGAGGGUAAAAUAUCUGUAGGAAGACGCCAUAAUUCAUGAUUGCAAGAUGUGAGAAGGUGGUUUGAGCGCUCAUCCACAUAAAUAUUUUGUGCUGCAGUUUACAAAACAACAAUAACUAUUUGGAUCGCCAACCUUCGGAAGAAGUGGGUGCAAUGAGAAGAAGAAUUUUGACGAACUGAAGAGCACUUCAAGCGCAGAAACCGUUUUUUCUGAAAAAGGCUAAAGAAGAGCGACUUCAUUUUAGAGAUAAAGAUAAUUACUAUUUGGCUCCUGUUCUGUGCAGGUAACUUCAUCUCCAGCAGAAGAAAUUUAUUGUCCAAAAGCAAAAACAACCGAAUUCGAAUAAUUUUACAAUAAUACGUCCUUGUUCAGACAACUACUUUAAUUUAAUGGGCUGUGACCAGUUUAAGGCAAAUUCAGACCUUUCAUAUCGAAAGCAGAGGAUGGUUUGACAUUGC